UACGUAGGGGGCAAGCGUUGUCCGGAAUUAUUGGGCGUAAAGAGCGUGUAGGCGGUCCGGUAAGUCAGCUGUGAAAGUCAAGGGCUCAACCCUUGAAUGCCGGUUGAUACUGUCGGGCUAGAGUCCGGAAGAGGCGAGUGGAAUUCCCGGUGUAGUGGUGAUAUGCGUAGAUAUCGGGAGGAACACCUGUGGCGAAGGCGGCUUUCUGGGCCUUACCUGACGCUGAGACGCGAAAGCGUGGGGAGCGAACCGG
This 253-nucleotide ribosomal RNA is filed under the name uncultured bacterium. Its description in RNAcentral is "partial 16S ribosomal RNA". It matches the Rfam family "Bacterial small subunit ribosomal RNA", at positions 524 to 776 of the family's 1533-position model. The record is from RNAcentral.